This 590-nucleotide ribosomal RNA is filed under the name uncultured bacterium. RNAcentral's name for it is "bacterial SSU rRNA". It matches the Rfam family "Bacterial small subunit ribosomal RNA", at positions 56 to 679 of the family's 1533-position model. The record is from RNAcentral.
UGCAGUCGAAGGAGAAAGUGGAGCAAUCCAUGAGUAAAGUGGCGCACGGGUGAGUAACACGUGACUAACCUACCUUCGAGUGGGGAAUAACUCCGGGAAACCGGGGCUAAGACCGCAUAAUAUCGAGAGAUCAAAUGCGAAAGCAGCUUGAAGAGGGGGUCGCGGUUGAUUAGCUAGUUGGUGGGGUAAUGGCCCACCAAGGCGAUGAUCAAUAGCCGGCCUGAGAGGGCGCACGGCCACACUGGAACUGAAACACGGUCCAGACUCCUACGGGAGGCAGCAGUGGGGAAUUUUGCGCAAUGGGGGAAACCCUGACGCAGCAAUGCCGCGUGGAGGAUGAAGUCCUUUGGGAUGUAAACUCCUUUCGAUCGGGAAGAUAAUGACGGUACCGGAAGAAGAAGCCCCGGCUAACUCUGUGCCAGCAGCCGCGGUAAUACAGAGGGGGCAAGCGUUGUUCGGAAUUAUUGGGCGUAAAGGGCGCGUAGGCGGUGCGGUAAGUCACUUGUGAAAUCUCUGGGCUCAACUCAGAGUCUGCAAGCGAAACUGCCGUGCUUGAGUAUGGGAGAGGUAUGUGGAAUUCCCGGUGUAGC